Molecule: ribosomal RNA, 482 nt
Filed under: uncultured bacterium
Lineage: Bacteria
Description: partial 16S ribosomal RNA
Rfam family: Bacterial small subunit ribosomal RNA
Source: RNAcentral
GACGAACGCUGGCGGCGCGCUUAACACAUGCAAGUCGAGCGAUGAAAUCUUAACAGAACCCUUCGGGGUGAAGAUAAGACGGAUUAGCGGCGGACGGGUGAGUAACACGUGAGUAACCUGCCUUUUACACAGGGAUAGCCUCAGGAAACCGGGAUUAAAACCUGAUGAAGCUAUCAAAUCACAUGAUUAAGAAAGUUAAAACUCCGGUGGUAAAAGAUGGACUCGCGUCCCAUUAGCUAGUUGGUGAAGGUAACGGCCCACCAAGGCAACGAUGGGUAGCCGGCCUGAGAGGGUGAACGGCCACAGUGGAACUGAGAAACGGUCCAAACUCCUACGGGAGGCAGCAGUGGGGAAUAUUGCACAAUGGGGGAAACCCUGAUGCAGCGACGCCGCGUGAGCGAAGAAGGCCUUCGGGUCGUAAAGCUCUUUUAUAUGGGAAGAUAAUGACGGUACCAUAAGAAAAAGCCCCGGCUAACUACGUG